Molecule: ribosomal RNA, 468 nt
Filed under: uncultured bacterium
Lineage: Bacteria
Description: partial 16S ribosomal RNA
Rfam family: Bacterial small subunit ribosomal RNA
Source: RNAcentral
GACGAACGCUGGCGGCGUGCUUAACACAUGCAAGUCGAACGGAAAGGCCCUGCUUUUGUGGGGUGCUCUAGUUGCGAACUGGUGAGUAACCCUUGAGUAACCUGCCCUUGACUUUGGGAUAACUUCAUGAAACUGGGUCUAAUACCGGCUAGGAGCUCCUGCUGCAUGGUGGGGGUUGGAUAGUUUCGGCGGUUGGGGAUGGACUCGCGGCGUAUCAGCUUGUUGGUGGGGUAGUGGCUUACCAAGGCUUUGACGGGUAGCCGGCCUGAGAGGGUGACCGGCCAAAUUGGGACUGAGAUACGGCCCAGACUACUACGGGAGGGAGCAGUGGGGAAUAUUGCACAAUGGGCGGAAGCCUGAUGCAGCAAAGCAGCGUGGGGGAUGACGGCCUUCGGGUUGGAAUCCGCUUUCGCCUGUGACGAAGCGUGAGUGACGGUAAUGGGUAAAGAAGCACCGGCUAACUACGUG